Long non-coding RNA from Acipenser ruthenus (sterlet), 1434 nucleotides. RefSeq lists it as uncharacterized. The transcript is spliced from 3 exons. Lineage: Eukaryota; Metazoa; Chordata; Actinopteri; Acipenseriformes; Acipenseridae. The record is from RefSeq and is a predicted model, not a curated record.
GAGAGAGAGACCCCAACACUGAGCAGACAGGUGAGAGAGAGAGAGAGACCCCAACACUGACCAGACAGGUGAGAGAGAGAGAGAGACCCCAACACUGACCAGACAGGUGAGAGAGAGAGACCCCAACACUGACCAGACAGGUGAGAGAGAGAGACCCCAACACUGACCAGACAGGUGAGAGAGAGAGACCCCAACACUGACCAGACAGGUGAGAGAGAGAGAGACCCCAACACUGACCAGACAGGUGAGAGAGAGAGAGAGAGACCCCAACACUGACCAGACAGGUGAGAGAGAGAGACCCCAACACUGACCAGACAGGUGAGAGAGAGAGACCCCAACACUGACCAGACAGGUGAGAGAGAGAGACCCCAACACUGACCAGACAGGUGAGAGAGAGAGACCCCAACACUGACCAGACAGGUGAGAGAGAGAGAGACCCCAACACUGACCAGACAGGUGAGAGAGAGAGAGAGACCCCAACACUGACCAGACAGGUGAGAGAGAGAGACCCCAACACUGACCAGACAGGUGAGAGAGAGAGAGAGACCCCAACACUGACCAGACAGGUGAGAGAGAGAGACCCCAACACUGACCAGACAGGUGAGAGAGAGAGACCCCAACACUGACCAGACAGGUGAGAGAGAGAGAGAGAGACCCCAACACUGACCAGACAGGUGAGAGAGAGAGACCCCCAACACUGACCAGACAGGUGAGAGAGAGAGAGACCCCAACACUGACCAGACAGGUGAGAGAGAGAGAGAGACCCCAACACUGACCAGACAGGUGAGAGAGAGAGACCCCAACACUGACCAGACAGGUGAGAGAGAGAGAGAGACCCAACACUGACCAGACAGGUGAGAGAGAGAGACCCCAACACUGACCAGACAGGUGAGAGAGAGAGACCCCAACACUGACCAGACAGGUGAGAGAGAGAGACCCCAACACUGACCAGACAGGUGAGAGAGAGAGAGAGACCCCAACACUGACCAGACAGGUGAGAGAGAGAGACCCCAACACUGACCAGACAGGUGAGAGAGAGAGACCCCAACACUGACCAGACAGGUGAGAGAGAGAGACCCCAACACUGACCAGACAGGUGAGAGAGAGAGAGACCCCAACACUGACCAGACAGGUGAGAGAGAGGAGAGGAGAGGAGAGGAUAGGAGAGACAGGGGAGAGAGAGAGAGACCCCAACCCCAACACUGACCAGACAGGUGAGAGAGAGAGACAGACAGACAGAGAGAGACCCCGACACUGACCCCAACACUGAGGACCAUCACUGUCCAGACCGGUGUGUGUCUGACUACUAAACUAUAGAGAGGGGGGGAGAGACUAUGUGUGUGGUUGGGGAUUUACUAACUCUAUCACUCUAUCUCUCUCUUCUCUCCCCUCUCCUCUCUCCCCCCCUCUCUCUCUCUCUCUCUCUCUCCUCUC